GACGAACGCUGGCGGCGUGCUUAACACAUGCAAGUCGAACGGAAAGGCCCUGCUUUUGUGGGGUGCUCGAGUGGCGAACGGGUGAGUAACACGUGAGUAACCUGCCCUUGACUUUGGGAUAACUUCAGGAAACUGGGGCUAAUACCGGAUAGGAGCUCCUGCUGCAUGGUGGGGGUUGGAAAGUUUCGGCGGUUGGGGAUGGACUCGCGGCUUAUCAGCUUGUUGGUGGGGUAGUGGCUUACCAAGGCUUUGACGGGUAGCCGGCCUGAGAGGGUGACCGGCCACAUUGGGACUGAGAUACGGCCCAGACGCCUACGGGAGGCAGCAGUGGGGAAUAUUGCACAAUGGGCGGAAGCCUGAUGCAGCAACGCCGCGUGCGGGAUGACGGCCUUCGGGUUGUAAACCGCGUUCGCCUGUGACGAAGCGUGAGUGACGGUAAUGGGUAAAGAAGCACCGGCUAACUACGCG
Molecule: ribosomal RNA, 468 nt
Filed under: uncultured bacterium
Lineage: Bacteria
Description: partial 16S ribosomal RNA
Rfam family: Bacterial small subunit ribosomal RNA
Source: RNAcentral